CAAUCCAGCCUGGCCCCAGGGCUCAUUUGCAUGUGGCCUGCCCCUUAGGGCUCUAAAAGCUGCUACAGGAUUUCACAAAGGCAGGAACCAGCUGAACCCCAAGGACAGGGUUGGCUCCUUCUCUCCCUCUGUCCAUCUCCUCCCUGCACCAUGGCCCUGUGCGCUCUGCCUCUCUGUCUCCUGGGGCUGUUCCUGGCAGGUUCUUGUGCCCAGCACGUGGUGACGCAGCCGCCCUCAGUGUCGGGGUCUCCAGGGCAGACAGUGAAACUCUCGUGCAGCGUCAGUGGAGGAUACGACAUCAGUAGCAAUGGAGUGAGGUGGUACCAACAGACCCCAGGGAAUCCUCCCAGAAACCUGCUCUAUUAUUUCAGUGAUUCUAGCACAGGCAGGGGCACUGGGGUCCCGGACCGGUUCUCUGGCUCUGCCUCCGGCAGUGUUGGCUACUUAACCAUCUCUGGGCUCCAAGCCGAGGAUGACGCUGAUUAUUACUGUGCAACUUGGGACGACAGCGCUAAGAUGCUCACAGUGGUGUAAUCAGAGAGGGAACCGAGACAAAAACCUUUCACAUUUCACUGCCCAACACCGAGCGAGACUCUGAGGAAGAGCUUUGAGGCUAGUGGGGCACAGCUGUGGCCAGAGAGAGGUUCCCUUGGCCGUGUUGUACCCAGCCUUUGCUGAAGGGAUUGCUUUUCCCUCACACAAGAUCCCCCUCCUCCUAGACUAAUCUCCUGGCACUGCAUGGGGGGUGGGGGCUGCCCGCAGAUCGGGAGCUCUGGGAUCCUCUGCACAGAGGGGCUGUUCCAGCGUCCAUGGCAGGCUGAGGACUGUCAUAUUCUCUACACCCUCCCCAUCUCCUACUACACGGGCCACAUGUUCACAUCUGCUCCUCCACCCCCUGCACUUCUAGAAGUGACCCAGGUGUGUCUGAAGCUGAUACCUGCCACAGGAGAGCUGUAAAAUCACGCGUGUGGGUGGAGGUCUGGGGCCAGUCGGCCCGUCAGUGACAGGAAGGGUUUGGUAGCCAGGAUCUGAAUAGCCCAAUCUCACACAGAGUGAACCCAGUCACUUGGAUUCCGUGCUAUCCUGAGGGCCCAGAUCCAAGAUGGCUGCUACUCUGUGUUCCUGUCUCCACCAGAGACUAAAUCCAGCGUCAUCCUUCUCAUACAAUGAAUGCGUCAGCAGGGAAUGGCCCAAUAUCCCUAAAGUACCAACAGCAGGAGACCCUGAGAGAAUAACUCCAGCCAAGGGCUCUUUAUACCAGUUGGAAAUAGCAAAAAUCCAAGGCAGCAGAGAAGAGUCUUGGCCAUGUGUGUGUGUGAUGCAAGUUCAGUCCAGAUCCAUCCAUGUGGAAGUCUGUGUAAAUGGUAUCACAGGGCUACACACACCCUUCUGGUAGCAACGGUUUGCACGUGAGCACUUGGCUGGGCAGCUGCACUCUCCCCUCAUCCCUGCAACGUGAGCCCCAAAGCCUUUUGCUCCCUAAAACUAAUAGGGUGACACUGGGCAGGAAGAGGAAUCAGGACAGGGAGAUGAGCUGGAACUCAGUGAUUUAUAUACUGGCCUCCCUAGAGGUGGCUACAGAGCACAAUCCACCGUCUCCCUGCUCCCCUAGCCCAGCCACGGCAGAACAGGCACCAGCCC
Mauremys reevesii (Reeves's turtle) is the source of this 1641-nucleotide non-coding RNA. NCBI's taxonomy places the organism in Eukaryota, Metazoa, Chordata, Testudines, Geoemydidae. The record is from the annotation of a RefSeq genome assembly.